CUGUAUUACCAGAAGGAGCACCAGAAGUAGACCCAAGAACAAACAGGUUGAAGAAAAAGCCAACAAUCCCAGUGCCCGCUGGAGAACCACCAGUAUUACCCAUUUACUCCGCCAUGGCACCAGGUCCAUCACUAGCUCCAGCACCAGCUCCAGGACCAGGUGGGCCCCACCACCACUUCGACGGUGAAAGUCAAGUAAAAGAUUUCAUUCAAACUCUAUUGCAUUACGGUGGUUACAAUGAAUUAGCAGACAUUCUUGUAAAUCUCACUUCCUUAGCUACCGAAAUGGGGAGAUUAGUGUCCGAAGGGUACGUUU
This 315-nucleotide long non-coding RNA is filed under the name Nicotiana tabacum (common tobacco). Its description in RNAcentral is "long non-coding RNA (NTAB_LNC016822)". The record is from RNAcentral. Lineage: Eukaryota; Viridiplantae; Streptophyta; Magnoliopsida; Solanales; Solanaceae.